Molecule: non-coding RNA, 318 nt
Organism: Paramuricea clavata
Lineage: Eukaryota; Metazoa; Cnidaria; Anthozoa; Malacalcyonacea; Plexauridae
Source: the annotation of a GenBank genome assembly
GGGAAAGCUAAGGAAGGCCAUGGAGGGCUAGGGAGAGCUAAGGAAGGCCAUGGAAGGCCAAGGAAGGCUAACAAAGGCCAGGGAACACCAAGGAAGGCUACGAAAGUGUAGGGAAGACUAGGGAGGGGUAAGGAAGGCCAAGGAAAGCUAAGGGGGUGUAGGGAAGACUAGGGAAAGGUAAGGAAGGCCAAGGAAAGCUAAGGGGGUGUAGGGAAGACUAGGGAGGGGUAAGGAAGGCUAAGGGUGUGUAGGGAAGACUAGGGAAAGGUAAGGAAGGUCAAGGAAAACUAAGGAGGUGUAGGGAAGACUAGGGAAUGG